RNAcentral lists this long non-coding RNA (765 nucleotides) under Equus caballus (horse). RNAcentral describes it as "lncRNA (ENSECAG00000053942.1)". Lineage: Eukaryota; Metazoa; Chordata; Mammalia; Perissodactyla; Equidae. The record is from RNAcentral.
GGCGAAUAGGGCCCUGAGCAGACCGUGCCUUUAGUCCGGGGAAGCUCCGGGUUUAGGUGGGUCUCUCGGUUGGGCUUUCCCCCACCAAGGACCCCUUUUUCCCCUGCAGAAGCCACGUUUGCAGCACCACAUCCCCCGGAUGACCGUGCCCGCUGACUCACCGGAGGCUUCAUAACUCGCAUCGGAGGUGAGCAGUGAAAGCACCGAAGGAAACAAAACAGGUCUUUCAGGUCCAUUUGAAAACUAGAGACCUCAGAGUAGAGACAGAUGACUCCUGGAAUGCCCUGACCUUCCAGAGUCUUUGUGGCCACUCCUGGCCAGCUGCGAACUGUGAAAGGACAUCUAUUCAUCUUCGUUGCCUCCCACACUCUCCUUGUCUCUCCUCAUUCAGAUAUAAGUUUGCUAAAAUGGCUAAAGAGGUCUUUAUAAGGGAGAAAUGACAUAAUGGAUGAAAAAUUACGUGCUAAACUGUAAGGCUAGCCUGGACUUGUUCAUGUGGCAAAGUCAGAGGAGCAAGAGAGAGAAAGCAAAAAUGUGCUUUUUCAAGCCUUUGCUUGUGUUAUAUUUGCUAACAUCCCAUUGUUCACACGUGGCUGAACCCAGAGUCAAGGGUUGGGGCGGAAAACCCCAUCCACAGUGGGAAGGUGCUGCAACAUUAUACGGAAAAGAAAUUGAGGAUCUCACUAGGUUGCAUCUGGGGCUGUGGCCUCAUCAGAAACUCAGCCAGGGAAACGCUUCCUCAGCUUGUUUGGCAGAAUUCUUUUG